GUCGUGCGAGGAUAUGAGUGGAAGGUCGUCGGACCGGAAGAUCAUAUCCGAGCGGCGGACGGGUGAGUAACGCGUGAGCAACCUGCCUUCAACAGGGGGAUAACGCAUCGAAAGAUGUGCUAAUACCGCGUAAGACCACGGCAUCACAUGGUGCAGGGGUCAAAGGAGCAAUCCGGUUGAAGAUGGGCUCGCGUCCGAUUAGCCAGUUGGUGAGGUAACGGCCCACCAAAGCGACGAUCGGUAGCCGACCUGAGAGGGUGAUCGGCCACAUUGGAACUGAGACACGGUCCAGACUCCUACGGGAGGCAGCAGUGGGGAAUAUUGGGCAAUGGGCGAAAAAGCCUGACCCAGCAACGCCGCGUGAGGGAAGAAGGGUUUCGGCUCGUAAACCUCUGUCCUAAAGGGCGAAAGAAAUGACGGUACUUUAGGAGGAAGCCCCGGCUAACUACGUGCCAGCAGCUGC
RNAcentral lists this ribosomal RNA (463 nucleotides) under uncultured bacterium. Its description in RNAcentral is "bacterial SSU rRNA". It matches the Rfam family "Bacterial small subunit ribosomal RNA", at positions 61 to 518 of the family's 1533-position model. The record is from RNAcentral.